RNAcentral lists this unclassified non-coding RNA (250 nucleotides) under plant metagenome. RNAcentral describes it as "partial contains small subunit ribosomal RNA, internal transcribed spacer 1, and 5.8S ribosomal RNA". The record is from RNAcentral.
GUAGGUGAACCUGCGGAAGGAUCAUUACAGAGUUCAUGCCCUUACGGGUAGAUCUCCCACCCUUGAAUAUAUACCUUUGUUGCUUUGGCGGGUCGCAUCGUCCACUGGCUUUUGCUAGUGAGUGCCCGCCAGAGAACCCUAAAUUCUGAAUUAAAGUGUCGUCUGAGUAUUAUAUAAUAGUUAAAACUUUCAACAACGGAUCUCUUGGUUCUGGCAUCGAUGAAGAACGCAGCAUCUGACUGACUGAACU